AAAGUCCUAGCUCAGUGGUAGACCAUCUGCUUUACAUGCAGAAGGUCCCAGGUUAAAUCCUUCCAGUUAGGGACUGGA
This is a non-coding RNA of Podarcis lilfordi (Lilford's wall lizard), 78 nucleotides long. NCBI's taxonomy places the organism in Eukaryota, Metazoa, Chordata, Lepidosauria, Squamata, Lacertidae. The record is from the annotation of a GenBank genome assembly.